RNAcentral lists this transfer RNA (66 nucleotides) under Mesastrape fulguraria. RNAcentral's name for it is "tRNA-Glu". Lineage: Eukaryota; Metazoa; Arthropoda; Insecta; Lepidoptera; Geometridae. The record is from RNAcentral.
AUUUAUAUAGUUUAUUAAAACAUUACAUUUUCAUUGUAAAAAUAAAAUAAAAAAUUUUUAUAAAUA